CCUACGGGAGGCAGCAGUGGGGAAUAUUGCACAAUGGGGGAAACCCUGAUGCAGCAACGCCGCGUGAAGGAAGACGGUUUUCGGAUUGUAAACUUCUGUUCUUAGUGAAGAAUAAUGACGGUAGCUAAGGAGCAAGCCACGGCUAACUACGUGCCAGCAGGCGCGGCAAUACGGAGGUGGCAAGCGUUGUCCGGAAUUAAUGGGUGUAAAGGGAGCGCAGGCGGGAAGCCAAGUCAGCUGUGAAAACUACGGGCUUAACUUGCAGAGUGCAGUUGAAACUGGUUUUCUUGAGUGAAGUAGAGGUAGGCGGAAUUCCGGGUGUAGCGGUGAAAUGCGUAGAUAUUCGGAGGAACACCGGUGGCGAAGGCGGCCAACCGGGCUUUAACUGACGCUGAGGCUCGAAAGUGUGGGUAGCAAACAGGAUUAGAUACCCCAGUAGUC
This 441-nucleotide ribosomal RNA is filed under the name uncultured bacterium. RNAcentral's name for it is "partial 16S ribosomal RNA". It matches the Rfam family "Bacterial small subunit ribosomal RNA", at positions 338 to 795 of the family's 1533-position model. The record is from RNAcentral.